This 100-nucleotide small RNA is filed under the name Pongo abelii (Sumatran orangutan). RNAcentral describes it as "processed transcript". Lineage: Eukaryota; Metazoa; Chordata; Mammalia; Primates; Hominidae. The record is from RNAcentral.
UAGAAGAACUGCUUAAGGAGGCAAAACGUGGGAAAACUAGAGCUGAAACAAUGGGACCCAUGGGUUGACUCCCUGGUUCCAAUCUGGCUCCACAUCUUAC